CAGUCGCCACGGUAAUACGGAGGGGGCUAGCGUUGUUCGGAAUUACUGGGCGUAAAGCGCACGUAGGCGGACCGGAAAGUCAGAGGUGAAAUCCCAGGGCUCAACCUUGGAACUGCCUUUGAAACUCCUGGUCUUGAGGUCGAGAGAGGUGAGUGGAAUUCCGAGUGUAGAGGUGAAAUUCGUAGAUAUUCGGAGGAACACCAGUGGCGAAGGCGGCUCACUGGCUCGAUACUGACGCUGAGGUGCGAAAGCGUGGGGAGCAAACAGGAUUAGAUACCCGAGUAGUCCUGUCUCUUAUACA
Molecule: ribosomal RNA, 301 nt
Filed under: uncultured bacterium
Lineage: Bacteria
Description: partial 16S ribosomal RNA
Rfam family: Bacterial small subunit ribosomal RNA
Source: RNAcentral